Molecule: ribosomal RNA, 813 nt
Filed under: uncultured bacterium
Lineage: Bacteria
Description: bacterial SSU rRNA
Rfam family: Bacterial small subunit ribosomal RNA
Source: RNAcentral
AGAGUUUGAUCCUGGCUCAGGAUGAACGCUAGCUACAGGCUUAACACAUGCAAGUCGAGGGGCAGCAUGGUCUUAGCUUGCUAAGGCUGAUGGCGACCGGCGCACGGGUGAGUAACGCGUAUCCAACCUGCCUUACACUCUUGGACAGCCUUCUGAAAGGGAGAUUAAUACAAGAUGUUAUCAUGAGUAAGCAUUUUCGCAUGAUUAAAGGUUUACCGGUGUAAGAUGGGGAUGCGUUCCAUUAGAUAGUAGGCGGGGUAACGGCCCACCUAGUCUUCGAUGGAUAGGGGUUCUGAGAGGAAGGUCCCCCACAUUGGAACUGAGACACGGUCCAAACUCCUACGGGAGGCAGCAGUGAGGAAUAUUGGUCAAUGGACGAGAGUCUGAACCAGCCAAGUAGCGUGAAGGAUGAAGGUUCUAUGGAUUGUAAACUUCUUUUAUACGGGAAUAAACGAAUCCACGUGUGGAUUUUUGCAUGUACCGUAUGAAUAAGGAUCGGCUAACUCCGUGCCAGCAGCCGCGGUAAUACGGAGGAUCCGAGCGUUAUCCGGAUUUAUUGGGUUUAAAGGGAGCGUAGAUGGGUUGUUAAGUCAGUUGUGAAAGUUUGCGGCUCAACCGUAAAAUUGCAAUUGAUACUGGCAGUCUUGAGUACAGUUGAGGUAGGCGGAAUUCGUGGUGUAGCGGUGAAAUGCUUAGAUAUCACGAAGAACUCCGAUUGCGAAGGCAGCUUACUAACCUGUAACUGACAUUGAUGCUCGAAAGUGUGGGUAUCAAACAGGAUUAGAUACCCUGGUAGUCCACACGGUAAACGAU